AUGAAGCCCUCCACCAACUUGCUGCUUCUUACUCCCAGUGACAGUAUGCUCCCUCGUGUUGCCACGGAGGGGAAGGGACCACCACAUACACAGACCUCCCUCCAUGUCUGGGGAUCGACGCCGGCGGUUGUGUGGUGCAGGCCGGCGGCGACACCGGAGGCGGGCGAGGCAAGACACCCGUUGACCUACCUCUUCUCAGUGCAAGUGGAGUGGUCCUGGGGAGCAGGGUUUGUGCCAAGCAAGCCAGCAGCUGCGUGCGAUUUCGGCAAAUACCUACAGAACACGGAGGAGAAGUUGGUUAGCAGAUGUGGCCGGAAAGUGCACGUCCAGCUCCCCUCGCAGGCAACAAAGCAAGGUUGGGGUCGGUGGUGGUGGUGGUGCGUGCCCUGCGGCAAUGCAGCGCUUGCCGGAAGUUGUUGGGGUCAAUGGGCGACGUCGGCGGCCUUAGCUUCUCUCCCACCGGCAACAAGGAACCACAAACACCGACAAAAAGCUUUCCGGAACAUGGGCAUGGGGCGGCUAUGCCAUGGCCUGGUCGUGGUUCGGACGACCUUGGUGGAAGGUGACAACAGCGAUGGCGGGGGAGGGGGGUGGAGGGGGAGGGACGACAGGGGAAGAGAAAUAGGGCAUCUGUGCCACCAAAGGGCGGGCCAGGGGAGGACAAUGGCACGCGUCCCGACCGUCCGCGCGCAUUCGUUUGGCCGCAAAUGCGGCCCAAAGUUGGGCCAGGAAUGGAAUGAAAAAAACGCAAAACUAGUAGCCCGUCGGCCAGGGGUGGGCCGAAAAGGGGGUUUUCGGCCAGGGCAUGGCCGAAGUAGGCUUUUCGGCUGCGCUUGGGCCGAAAACACGCUGUCGGCUGGGGCCCGACCGAAAAUAGUAGCUUCGGCUGCUGAGAGGCCGAACUGGGCCGUUUUCGGCCCACCGGUGACCGAAGUGGAGCUUUUCGGCCAGGCUGCGGCCGAAAAGUUUUUGAUGUGUUUGGGGAGGAGCAGCCAUGGUGGGGAGGAGGAGCCAUGGUGGAGAGGAGGACGGGUAGUGAAAAUGUCUGAAUCAGUAAAUCUGAAUGUUUACUACGGCGCUGGUAAUGUUCGAUAUAAUGAGUUGGGGGUUGAUCUUAGCGAGUUUAAAAAUGGCGUCAUGACACUAGCUGACCCGGACAGACUGGACAUUAGACAGUUGAAGUACUGGUUGACAACUAGUUUCGGUCUGGAUCCUGAAGUAUGUUCUGUCAGUAUUCAUGCAUUGUGGACCAAAUCCUGUAAAAAUGUCAAGUGGGAGUUGAUGCCGGUAGAUAGGAGCCAGCAUUGGUUGUCCCUGUUAAGACGCUGUCGAGACCGAAGAAUCCACCCAUAUGCACUUGUGCAACCUGUGCCGAAGGAGGAGAAUACCGUAGAACUCCACAGGGGGUAUGAACCCGGCCAAGGCAGUGAAGUGGCUAACGAGAUUGUUUUAUCCGGGUCACAGCCACAAGAUGUGGAUGCUAGCCAACCCGAGAAAGAGUCAGACUACGUGCCACACAAUGUUUGUGGUCCUGAUACUGGGCAGAGCAGCCAGUCGAUAAUAUUAGCUGGUUCAGGUUUUGCUGAUGGGGAUGAGGAAGGGGAUGAAAUGCAGAGGGUGAUGGAGGAAGAGGACGAGGAUGGAUUGGUGGAGGAACUGGAUUCUGAAAAUUCUGAGGAUGAAAUAUGUCUUUGUAUCCGUUGCUUAAUGGCAACAUCGAUAGAAAGCACCGGGGCGCCCUAUUGGAAGCGGGCAACAACUUGGACGUGUUGGUUAAGUUGGGCUGGACUUCUACCCUUGGCACGGCUGGUUCAGGGUACAUUGGAUGAGUGGAUUGAUGGUCCGGACUUAGAUGAGGCAGGUGAACCAGUGCAGUUACACAAGAGGCAAGUGAGACGUUUCUCUUACGACAAGUCACUCCUUACCUGCUUAGUAGAUAGAUGGAGGCCAGAGACACAUACGUUUCACUUCCCAUGGGGAGAGAUGGCGCCUACUUUACAGGAUGUGUCGUACUUGUUGGGAUUACCUCUGGCCGGUGCUGCCAUAGGUCCCUUAGAGGCAGAAUCAGGGUGGCAAACAGCGAUGCAGACCCGUUUUUUGGCUGCGGUCCCGACUGCUAGGGCCAUAGACAACGAUCCUCAUGGACCUCUUUUUAGAUGGUUGAGCCAGUUUCAGCUGGGGCUUAUGUGCCUGCUAUCGGCGACUUACCUACUAUGGGUUCUGUUUGGGCACGGCGAGAGACUAGACCAAAAAGUCUAUUUCGGCCUAGCUUUGGCCGAAAUGCUCCACUUCGGCCUAAUGAUGGCCGAAACUACCUACUUCGGCCUAAUGAUGGCCGAAAUCACCUACUUCGGCCUAGCUUUGGCCGAAAAGCCCUACUUCGGCCUAGCUUUGGCCGAAAAGACCUACUUCGGCCAGAGGAUGGCCGACGGGCUACUAGUUGUGGUUUUUUUGCAUUACGUCAUAUAG
This 2469-nucleotide ribosomal RNA is filed under the name Triticum aestivum (bread wheat). Its description in RNAcentral is "partial small subunit ribosomal RNA". The record is from RNAcentral. Lineage: Eukaryota; Viridiplantae; Streptophyta; Magnoliopsida; Poales; Poaceae.